UUAAAUGUAGUCUGACAGGCGUGGAACAUGCUUUCUUCGGACAGAUUACAAGGUGCUGCAUGGUUGUCGUCAGCUCGUGCCGUGAGGUGUCAGGUUAAGUCCUAUAACGAGCGCAACCCCUGUUGUUAGUUGCCAGCGAGUAAUGUCGGGAACUCUAGCAAGACUGCCGGUGCAAACCGUGAGGAAGGUGGGGAUGACGUCAAAUCAUCACGGCCCUUACGUCCUGGGCCACACACGUGCUACAAUGGCCAGUACAGAGAGCAGCCACUUGGCGACAAGGAGCGAAUCUAUAAAGCUGGUCACAGUUCGGAUUGGAGUCUGCAACUCGACUCUAUGAAGCUGGAAUCGCUAGUAAUCGGAUAUCAGCCAUGAUCCGGUGAAUACGUUCCCGGGCCUUGUACACACCGCCCGUCAAGCCAUGGAAGCUGGGGGUACCUGAAGUCGGUGACCGCAAGGAGCUGCCUAGGGUAAAACUAGUAACUGGGGCUAAGUCGUAACAAGGUAAGCGUAGUGCU
RNAcentral lists this ribosomal RNA (515 nucleotides) under uncultured bacterium. RNAcentral describes it as "bacterial SSU rRNA". It matches the Rfam family "Bacterial small subunit ribosomal RNA", at positions 981 to 1509 of the family's 1533-position model. The record is from RNAcentral.